UCAACUUUAUUAGAAGAGACGCAUUUAUUAGAUAAAAAGCCAAUGCAUGCUUUUACAGUAUGAAAAUUGGUGAUUUAUAAUAACUUAGCAAAUCGCAAAGUGAAAACAGGCGAUAAAUCAUUCAAGUUUCUGACCUAUCAGCUUUCGACGGUAUGGUAUUGGCUUACCGUGGCAGUGACGGUUAACGGGGGAUUAGGGUUCGAUUCCGGAGAGGGAGCCUGAGAAACGGCUACCACAUCUAAGGAAGGCAGCAGGCGCGCAAAUUACCCAAUUCUAACAGUUUGAGAGAGGUAGUAACAAGAAAUAACAAUACAAGGCAGUUAAAAUGCUUUGUAAUUGGAAUGAUAGAAAUUUAAACCCUUUUUAAAGUAUCAAUUGGAGGGCAAGUCUGGUGCCAGCAGCCGCGGUAAUUCCAGCUCCAAUAGCGUAUAUUAAAAUUGUUGCAGUUAAAAAGCUCGUAGUUGAAGUUCUGCUAAAAGUAACCGGUCUGCUUUGAAUAAAAGUGGUAUCUUGGUAUGUAUUUAGCAAUGAUGUCCUUUGAAGUGUUUUUUACUUUAUUGUAAUAAAGCAUAUUCAGGACUUUUACCUUGAGAAAA
This 596-nucleotide ribosomal RNA is filed under the name Hepatozoon canis. Its description in RNAcentral is "bacterial SSU rRNA". It matches the Rfam family "Eukaryotic small subunit ribosomal RNA", at positions 183 to 765 of the family's 1831-position model. Lineage: Eukaryota; Apicomplexa; Hepatozoidae. The record is from RNAcentral.